Molecule: ribosomal RNA, 301 nt
Filed under: uncultured bacterium
Lineage: Bacteria
Description: partial 16S ribosomal RNA
Rfam family: Bacterial small subunit ribosomal RNA
Source: RNAcentral
CAGCCGCCGCGGUAAUACGAAGGGGGCUAGCGUUGUUCGGAUUUACUGGGCGUAAAGCGCACGUAGGCGGAUCGAUCAGUCAGGGGUGAAAUCCCAGAGCUCAACUCUGGAACUGCCUUUGAUACUGUCGAUCUGGAGUAUGGAAGAGGUGAGUGGAAUUCCGAGUGUAGAGGUGAAAUUCGUAGAUAUUCGGAAGAACACCAGUGGCGAAGGCGGCUCACUGGACACGUAUUGACGCUGAGGUACGAAAGCGUGGGGAGCAAACAGGAUUAGAGACCCCCGUAGUCCCUGUCUCUUAUAC